This 76-nucleotide transfer RNA is filed under the name Enterobacter sp. EA-1. Its description in RNAcentral is "tRNA-Gln". It matches the Rfam family "tRNA". From Rfam's summary of the family: Transfer RNA (tRNA) molecules are approximately 80 nucleotides in length. Their secondary structure includes four short double-helical elements and three loops (D, anti-codon, and T loops). Further hydrogen bonds mediate the characteristic L-shaped molecular structure. tRNAs have two regions of fundamental functional importance: the anti-codon, which is responsible for specific mRNA codon recognition, and the 3' end, to which the tRNAs corresponding amino acid is attached (by aminoacyl-tRNA synthetases). tRNAs cope with the degeneracy of the genetic code in two manners: having more than one tRNA (with a specific anti-codon) for a particular amino acid; and 'wobble' base-pairing, i.e. permitting non-standard base-pairing at the 3rd anti-codon position. The record is from RNAcentral. Lineage: Bacteria; Pseudomonadati; Pseudomonadota; Gammaproteobacteria; Enterobacterales; Enterobacteriaceae.
UGGGGUAUCGCCAAGCGGUAAGGCAGUGGAUUCUGAUUCCACCAUCCCGAGGUUCGGAAUCCUCGUACCCCAGCCA